UUCUCGGCCUUUUGGCUAAGAUCAAGUGUAGUAUCUGUUCUUAUCAGUUUAAUAUCUGAUAUGUGGGACAUUGUCCCACAUGAUAUUAAAUUAAUUUUUUUAGGGGGAGGAUUCGUUACAGCAGCUUGCUGCUGGAAUCCUCAAGCGUCGCCCAUGCUUCGCACUACCGCAGGGGCCUGGCGCACCCCUUCCAAGUCUAGUUAAUUCUUACUUCAAUAUAAACUGAUUUGGUUAAUUAGUAACUCUUUAAACUUGUCAGGAUGAGAGCCUGGAGGCAUUUGUGACAGGCCCAUUUGGUCAAAUAUUUAUUUGGAGGAAGAUUAUGUUGAGAUGCCAAAUCCAGCCAGCUGCCGCUCCAUUGUCUUUCUCGUAUGAACAGAAGAAGAGUGUAGAAGUGGAAUUUUUUCGUCGGAGGAAUUAACUCUGAGACCUGGUAAUUGAUGUUUCAUUUCAAGCUUUCCUUCUCUUUCAGGCACUCCCACAUCGACGGGAAAACAAAAUCCUGAACCUGAACUUACGCAUAUAAAAUGCAGUGAACUCUAAACCUGAAACAUGGAGCCGUGUGGUGAGCACAAAGCGAACUAUUAUUUCGCCUUUUACUAAACAAUACCGUGUGCUCACCACUUAUAAGCGUCAUACCUUUAUUUUUGGAGGGUCCUGAUCACUUGAGGGCUAUACCCUGAUGGUGAGAGGGUGUUGAAUUCAUAGGAGUUUCAAAUUUAUGGCCAAGCCGCCGUUAGCUAUCUUAUUGCAAGCAGUAUUUCAAACCCAGAGCAAACUGACUGAUUUAAUCAGUCUUCGGUGGCCAACUUGGUUUGGGUCAGUUCAAUCACGAAACAAUUCGAUUGAACUGUCAUGGUUAUGUUAGUGUAAAAUUUUUACAAAGGAAGAAAAAUAUUUGUAAUUAUUGGAAUUUAAACCCCAAGCACCUGGGAAAUGGACAUGAUCAUGCAUGUCAUCAAGCUAAAUUAGAUUAUUGAUUAUAUAUAAUUUGAAUUUCA
Mangifera indica (mango) is the source of this 1001-nucleotide long non-coding RNA. RefSeq lists it as uncharacterized. The transcript is spliced from 3 exons. The record is from RefSeq and is a predicted model, not a curated record. NCBI's taxonomy places the organism in Eukaryota, Viridiplantae, Streptophyta, Magnoliopsida, Sapindales, Anacardiaceae.